This 76-nucleotide transfer RNA is filed under the name Staphylococcus aureus T82627. Its description in RNAcentral is "tRNA-Lys". It matches the Rfam family "tRNA". Rfam says of the family: Transfer RNA (tRNA) molecules are approximately 80 nucleotides in length. Lineage: Bacteria; Bacillati; Bacillota; Bacilli; Caryophanales; Staphylococcaceae. The record is from RNAcentral.
GAGCCAUUAGCUCAGUUGGUAGAGCAUCUGACUUUUAAUCAGAGGGUCAGAGGUUCGAAUCCGUCAUUCUCCACCA